CCUACGGGUGGCUGCAGUCGAGGAUCUUCGGCAAUGGGCGCAAGCCUGACCGAGCGACGCCGCGUGGGCGAUGAAGGCCUUCGGGUUGUAAAGCCCUGUCGAGAGAGAGAAAAGGGCAACCUUGAUCGAUCUCUGGAGGAAGCACGGGCUAAGUUCGUGCCAGCAGCCGCGGUAAGACGAACCGUGCGAACGUUGUUCGGAAUCACUGGGCUUAAAGGGCGCGUAGGCGGGGCCGCAAGUCCGGGGUGAAAGCCCCCAGCUCAACUGGGGAAGCGCCUUGGAUACUGCGGUCCUCGAGGGAGGUAGGGGCGUGCGGAACUUCCGGUGGAGCGGUGAAAUGCGUAGAUAUCGGAAGGAACACCGGUGGCGAAAGCGGCGCGCUGGACCUCUUCUGACGCUGAGGCGCGAAAGCCAGGGGAGCAAACGGGAUUAGAUACCCUAGUAGUC
This 447-nucleotide ribosomal RNA is filed under the name uncultured bacterium. RNAcentral describes it as "partial 16S ribosomal RNA". It matches the Rfam family "Bacterial small subunit ribosomal RNA", at positions 338 to 795 of the family's 1533-position model. The record is from RNAcentral.